UACGUAGGGGGCAAGCGUUGUCCGGAUUUAUUGGGCGUAAAGAGCGUGUAGGCGGUUUGGUAGGUCCGCUGUGAAAACUCGAGGCUCAACCUCGAGACGCCGGUGGAAACCAUCAGACUAGAGUCCGGAAGAGGAGAGUGGAAUUCCUGGUGUAGCGGUGAAAUGCGCAGAUAUCAGGAAGAACACCCGUGGCUAAGGCGGCUCUCUAGUACGGUACUGACGCUGAGACGCGAAAGCUAGGGGAGCAAACAGG
RNAcentral lists this ribosomal RNA (253 nucleotides) under uncultured bacterium. Its description in RNAcentral is "partial 16S ribosomal RNA". It matches the Rfam family "Bacterial small subunit ribosomal RNA", at positions 524 to 776 of the family's 1533-position model. The record is from RNAcentral.